GCAAGUCGAACGAGAAGCAUUCUUCGGGAUGUGGAUAGUGGCGCACGGGUGAGUAACGCGUGGGAAUUUACCUCUUGGUACGGAAUAACAGUUAGAAAUGACUGCUAAUACCGUAUAGUUCCUCAGGGAUAAAGAUUUAUCGCCAAGAGAUAAGCCCGCGUUAGAUUAGCUAGUUGGUAAGGUAAAGGCUUACCAAGGCUACGAUCUAUAGCUGGUCUGAGAGGAUGAUC
This 230-nucleotide ribosomal RNA is filed under the name uncultured bacterium. RNAcentral describes it as "partial 16S ribosomal RNA". It matches the Rfam family "Bacterial small subunit ribosomal RNA", at positions 57 to 305 of the family's 1533-position model. The record is from RNAcentral.